AGUGAACGCUGGCGGUAGGCCUAACACAUGCAAGUCGAACGGCAGCACAGGAGAGCUUGCUCUCUGGGUGGCGAGUGGCGGACGGGUGAGGAAUACAUCGGAAUCUACUCUGUCGUGGGGGAUAACGUAGGGAAACUUACGCUAAUACCGCAUACGACCUACGGGUGAAAGCAGGGGAUCUUCGGACCUUGCGCGAUUGAAUGAGCCGAUGUCGGAUUAGCUAGUUGGCGGGGUAAAGGCCCACCAAGGCGACGAUCCGUAGCGGGGCUGAGAGGAUGAUCAGGCACACUGGAACUGAGACACGGUCCAGACUCCGACGGGAGGCAGCAGUGGGGAAUAUUGGACAAUGGGCGCAAGCCUGAUCCAGCCAUACCGCGUGGGUGAAGAAGGCCUUCGGGUUGUAAAGCCCUUUUGUUGGGAAAGAAAUCCAGCUGGCUAAUACCCGGUUGGGAUGACGGUACCCAAAGAAUAAGCACCGGCUAACUUCGUGCCAGCAGCCGCGGUAA
RNAcentral lists this ribosomal RNA (506 nucleotides) under uncultured bacterium. Its description in RNAcentral is "partial 16S ribosomal RNA". It matches the Rfam family "Bacterial small subunit ribosomal RNA", at positions 29 to 523 of the family's 1533-position model. The record is from RNAcentral.